UAGUGGGGGACAACGUUUCGAAAGGAACGCUAAUACCGCAUACGUCCUACGGGAGAAAGCAGGGACCUUCGGGCCUUGCGCUAUCAGAUGAGCCUAGGUCGGAUUAGCUAGUUGGUGAGGUAAUGGCUCACCAAGGCGACGAUCCGUAACUGGUCUGAGAGGAUGAUCAGUCACACUGGAACUGAGACACGGUCCAGACUCCUACGGGAGGCAGCAGCC
This 219-nucleotide ribosomal RNA is filed under the name uncultured Pseudomonas sp. RNAcentral's name for it is "partial 16S ribosomal RNA". It matches the Rfam family "Bacterial small subunit ribosomal RNA", at positions 134 to 355 of the family's 1533-position model. The record is from RNAcentral. Lineage: Bacteria; Pseudomonadati; Pseudomonadota; Gammaproteobacteria; Pseudomonadales; Pseudomonadaceae.